This 667-nucleotide long non-coding RNA is filed under the name Olea europaea subsp. europaea. The record is from RNAcentral. Lineage: Eukaryota; Viridiplantae; Streptophyta; Magnoliopsida; Lamiales; Oleaceae.
CUGGAAUAUGAAGAAGGCCAAACUUCUAGAGAGGCCUACAAUGGUGAAGAAGAUGAUGGUAUGACAGACAUCAAAGAAGAAAUAGAUCUAGAGGUAGAAAGAAGAAAAAGAGGAGAAUCAUACAACACUCUGUUGAAGCAACUGCAUCGAGAGGGAGUUCGUGAAGUAGACUUAUUGGGAGAACCAUUUAGGCAUUCCUUCGAUUUUUAUGUGCUGUACGGGACGCCCAAAAAGAAGAAGAGAGUGCCUCGCUCUGAAAAGUAUGGAUCACCUCCAAGAAUAAUGCCCCCUCCCACAAGUUGGGUAACUGAAGAAUAAGCAUUAGAAAACAGUAAAAAGGAAAUUCAAGAGAUAGAGGCUCAGUGCGAUAUGCUGCACGUUGACUUAUCACAAAAGGGUAACUCGACGGGGGACAAGCAGGAAGUGGAAAUAGGUGCUGCCGAAAAAGUUAUUUUCAAGCGACCAGCCAUGAAAUUGACCAAACACUUGAGACCAUUGUACGUUAAAGCUCUAGUUAACGGCAUACCUGUGACAAAAGUGCUUGUCGAUAAUGGAGCAGCUAUAAACACCAUUCCAUCUAAGAUGAUGAGGAAAUUCGCAAAGACAGAAGGAGAUAUGAUCCCAACGGAAGUCAUCCUGACGAGUUUCAAUGGAGGAGCAAUUUCAG